This 253-nucleotide ribosomal RNA is filed under the name uncultured prokaryote. Its description in RNAcentral is "partial 16S ribosomal RNA". It matches the Rfam family "Bacterial small subunit ribosomal RNA", at positions 525 to 777 of the family's 1533-position model. The record is from RNAcentral.
ACGAACCGUGCGAACGUUGUUCGGAAUCACUGGGCUUAAAGGGCGCGUAGGCGGGCAGUCAAGUCAGGGGUGAAAUCCCACGGCUCAACCGUGGAAGUGCCCCUGAUACUGAUUGUCUCGAGGGAGGUAGGGGCGUGCGGAACUUCCGGUGGAGCGGUGAAAUGCGUAGAUAUCGGAAGGAACACCGGUGGCGAAAGCGGCGCGCUGGACCUUUACUGACGCUGAGGCGCGAAAGCCAGGGGAGCAAACGGGA